Molecule: ribosomal RNA, 245 nt
Filed under: uncultured bacterium
Lineage: Bacteria
Description: partial 16S ribosomal RNA
Rfam family: Bacterial small subunit ribosomal RNA
Source: RNAcentral
UACGUAGGUGGCAAGCGUUGUUCGGAUUUAUUGGGUUUAAAGGGUGCGUAGGCGGUUCUGUAAGUCAGCGGUGAAAUACGACAGCCCAACUGUCGAGGUGCCGUUGAUACUGCAGAGCUUGAGUGUCGUUGGGGCAAGCGGAAUUGACGGUGUAGCGGUGAAAUGCUUAGAUAUCGUCAAGAACACCGAUAGCGAAGGCAGCUUGCCAAAGGACAACUGACGCUGAGGCACGAAAGUGCGGGGAU